CUAAGAAUAUUCCGCAAUGGACGAAAGUCUGACGGAGCGACGCCGCGUGGAUGAAGAAGGCCGAAAGGUUGUAAAAUUCUUUUGCGGAUGAAGAAUAAGUAGGGGAGGGAAUGCCCUUAUGAUGACGUUAGUCCGUGAAUAAGCCCCGGCUAAUUACGUGCCAGCAGCCGCGGUAACACGUAAGGGGCGAGCGUUGUUCGGAAUUAUUGGGCGUAAAGGGCGCGUAGGCGGUCUAGUAAGUCUGAUGUGAAAACCCCGGGCCUAACCCGGGAACUGCAUUGGAAACUGCGAGGCUAGAGUCACGGAGGGGGAGCUGGAAUUCCUGGUGUAGGGGUGAAAUCUGUAGAUAUCAGGAAGAACACCGGUAGCGAAGGCGAGCUUCCAGCCGAUGACUGACGCUGAGGCGCGAAAGUGCGGGGAGCAAACAGGAUUAGAUACCCUGGUAGUCCGCACUAUAAACGAUGCACACUAGGUGUUGGACCGAGCGGUUCAGUGCCGGAGCGAACGCGAUAAGUGUGCCGCCU
Molecule: ribosomal RNA, 524 nt
Filed under: uncultured bacterium
Lineage: Bacteria
Description: bacterial SSU rRNA
Rfam family: Bacterial small subunit ribosomal RNA
Source: RNAcentral